RNAcentral lists this ribosomal RNA (742 nucleotides) under uncultured Bacteroidales bacterium. RNAcentral's name for it is "bacterial SSU rRNA". It matches the Rfam family "Bacterial small subunit ribosomal RNA", at positions 23 to 754 of the family's 1533-position model. Lineage: Bacteria; Pseudomonadati; Bacteroidota; Bacteroidia; Bacteroidales. The record is from RNAcentral.
CUCAGGAUGAACGCUAGCUACAGUGCUUAACACAUGCAAGUCGAGGGGCAUCAGGAAGAAAGCUUGCUUUCUUUGCUGGCGACCGGCGCACGGGUGAGUAACACGUAUCCAACCUGCCCUUUACUCGGGGAUAGCCUUUCGAAAGAAAGAUUAAUACCCGAUAGCAUAAUGAUUCCGCAUGGUUUCAUUAUUAAAGGAUUCCGGUAAAGGAUGGGGAUGCGUUCCAUUAGGUUGUUGGUGAGGUAACGGCUCACCAAGCCUUCGAUGGAUAGGGGUUCUGAGAGGAAGGUCCCCCACAUUGGAACUGAGACACGGUCCAAACUCCUACGGGAGGCAGCAGUGAGGAAUAUUGGUCAAUGGGCGUUAGCCUGAACCAGCCAAGUAGCGUGAAGGAUGAAGGCUCUAUGGGUCGUAAACUUCUUUUAUAUAAGAAUAAAGUGCAGUAUGUAUACUGUUUUGUAUGUAUUAUAUGAAUAAGGAUCGGCUAACUCCGUGCCAGCAGCCGCGGUAAUACGGAGGAUCCGAGCGUUAUCCGGAUUUAUUGGGUUUAAAGGGAGCGUAGGUGGACUGGUAAGUCAGUUGUGAAAGUUUGCGGCUCAACCGUAAAAUUGCAGUUGAUACUGUCAGUCUUGAGUACAGUAGAGGUGGGCGGAAUUCGUGGUGUAGCGGUGAAAUGCUUAGAUAUCACGAAGAACUCCGAUUGCGAAGGCAGCUCACUGGACUGCAACUGACACUGAUGCUC